UGUGGACGCUCUGUAAUCCGUUUCUGAAGGUUUCCCCUGUUUUCUUAAACGCAAACUCACCACUUAUCAGAGGGAUGUGCUGUGUGAAACACUGCUCACAUCUAAAAAGACACCUAAUUCCUCAUCUAAGGCAAAAAGAAACUCAAGCCUUUCUGUUUGUGUUGUGAAAAUCCACCGCUGUUCAUUGAAUUCACCCUAACUUCUACAAAGGGGAGAGCUGGACGUAGAUGAACUGAGUGAUUCAAUUCUAACAAAACGGAAUCUCUUAAGCACUAAGAAGAAAGAGAAGAACUAAAGUUAAAAACUGAACAUACAAAAAAGAUACAAUUUAGCUCGCUGCAACCUUGGCAAGCGCAACCAGGGGAUUGAGGGGAGGCGAGUGUGUGGGAGUCAAGCUCCGGCCAAAGAAAAGAGCAACACGGUGCUUCAGGAUGAGAUCUGAAGAGAGCCAAUGAGUCACCAAUGAAGAGGAAACCAGAGCAGAAAACAAGAGACAGCCGUGCCACCAAAAAGACAUUUUAAGAAGGAGGGAGAAGGCAAGGCGUCCCUUCCACAGAACUGCAGGGAAACCUCAGCAGACACCUCAAGAUGAGACCGGGAGGCAGAGAAAGAAACGUUGUCUCCUUGCCCAGGUUAAUGUUGCUAAAAGAGAGAAGAAGCUGGAGGUGUGGGAGGAUGAAGGACUUCUAAGGUUAUCGGCUCCAGAGAAUGCCUCAGAAGGGCUUGUCCAUGAGAGAGUAAAUCAUUAUACUUAAUCCAGUAAUGGGCCGUGCCUUUCCGGUGUUUGGGAUUCUAAUCCCUUCGCAGAAAAACGUUUUCGAACACGAAGUGGGGAAGCAGGAGGCUUCACAGGAUAAAGAUCCCUCCUAUUUUAAACAAAGCAGUUGAUGAUGGCUUUAGUGCUCGUUCGUACUGGGCCACAAAUAACCUUCUCCGGGAGGGAGGGGGAAGGAAACUCCUUCCUUCCCCAGACUGAUCGGAGACUACACUGUGGUCACUGUCCACUAACUACUCUCACCAGAAAUAUCUUAUCUCUCCCGUUGCUUAGAGCCAUAAAUGUCAUUUUAAUUCAGUGACUUGAAGUGUCGCCUACUCGCAUGCUCUUUCAAGUCUUUCACUGGGAUCAGUAAACACCCGCAAGCCUAUUUAAUAAAUCAACGAGGCUCAGGAAAGCUACUUCGAGAUGAGUAUACUUCAGUGAGCAUUUUAUUUCAAGCAUGGUCAUUUAUAUGCUGUUGCCAGUGGGAAUUUCUGGGAGUCUACGUGAUAAGCUCGGAGACAAUCAGCCCCUUGAACUGUUGAGAGGAAGUUGUUCUGACCCGAUUGCUUCCUGUGAGCAGAGAGAGACCUUUCGCUGACAAAGCAGCUUCAAAGUUACAGACACAAGCCCAGUGACUAGCUGAGGAGGAGUGGGCAUGCGCGGCACCUGGGAGAGGCGGACUGUGGGAAGUGGGACGUUAUCCGAGCAGCACAAGGGACAAGGUGGUGAAGAGCUCCCAGAACGGACACGUCAGCCCAUCAGACAUUCGUUCAACCUCCAUUCAGGAUAUUUGAUCGCACUGUGAUCCCCGAGAUUGUGUUGUUUACUGGAAAAACCUAUUUGUAGCUGUGGUUGUGGCUCAGCCUUAGCGCACACCUAUAAUCCUUCUGGCUGGAAUACAGACGUGCCCUUAGUACCCGUCCUUUCAUCCCAAACAAUGAAGGACAGGGUCUCUCUGUGUAACCUCGACUGCCCUGGAACUCACUCUGCAGACCAAACUGACCUUGAAAUCGGAGAGUCACCUGCCUCAGCCUCCGGAGUACUGGAAUUAAAGGCAUGGGCCACACCUCCCGGCUUGUAUUUAUCA
Rattus norvegicus (Norway rat) is the source of this 1847-nucleotide long non-coding RNA. RefSeq lists it as uncharacterized. The record is from RefSeq and is a predicted model, not a curated record. Lineage: Eukaryota; Metazoa; Chordata; Mammalia; Rodentia; Muridae.